Molecule: ribosomal RNA, 253 nt
Filed under: uncultured bacterium
Lineage: Bacteria
Description: partial 16S ribosomal RNA
Rfam family: Bacterial small subunit ribosomal RNA
Source: RNAcentral
UACGGAGGGGGCUAGCGUUGUUCGGAAUUACUGGGCGUAAAGCGCACGUAGGCGGCUUUGUAAGUUAGAGGUGAAAGCCCGGAGCUCAACUCCGGAAUUGCCUUUAAGACUGCAUCGCUCGAAUCAUGGAGAGGUGAGUGGAAUUCCGAGUGUAGAGGUGAAAUUCGUAGAUAUUCGGAAGAACACCAGUGGCGAAGGCGGCUCACUGGCCCGUUACCGACGCUCAGGCGCGACAGCGUGGGGAGCAAACAGG